CGUGAGUUAACUAAGAACUUUCGUCAAAUUGUGAAUUUGAGAGCAAGCUAAGUGAAAAACUAGCUUUGGACUAGAAGCAGCAGGAGUGAAGGAUUCCUUACUGGACUUGAGAUGAUGUUUCAGGUAAAGUUGAAGAAGUUUAGUGCGAGGAUGCGAUGUGAAAACCUCUAUGGGAUUUUAGAACAUGUAUUUUAAAUUGUGAAAUGUGUG
Molecule: small RNA, 210 nt
Filed under: Vigna angularis var. angularis
Lineage: Eukaryota; Viridiplantae; Streptophyta; Magnoliopsida; Fabales; Fabaceae
Description: Non-protein coding transcript
Source: RNAcentral